Pelobates cultripes (western spadefoot toad) is the source of this 423-nucleotide non-coding RNA. NCBI's taxonomy places the organism in Eukaryota, Metazoa, Chordata, Amphibia, Anura, Pelobatidae. The record is from the annotation of a GenBank genome assembly.
GUUUGAAGUCCUCAGCGAGCACUAGGAGCAUCGAUUGGCGGAGGUACUCAGUCGGAGUGCCAGCGUUCCGUCAUAGUGGCGAAAUCAGCCUCGCCACUGGGCAUUGGAGAAGACUGAUUGCCAGCCUCCUGCCAUGUGACUAUGGACCCUGGGAGACUUUGCCCUGUGUAAGCAUUAUUUGUGCUUACUGGAUUUUGAAACAUUUUUUCUGCCCCUUUGAAUACAUGAGAAGGUGUGCCCCUCCCCCGUUUCCUGUCUAUUGUUCUCCAGCAGGGCGUUGUCCAAGGGAAACUGCCAGACCAGUUGGAACUUGUUGCUAAACUUUAACCCCAUGGCGAUUUGACUGUGUUUGUGGGAUCUGAGCACUGUUCGGAUAUAGUGAGCGCUCAGAUCCAAGGUAUCUGGGGAUAGGUUGAAUGUGGG